CAGCUUCUCUAAUAGUUCGUCGCUUAAAGAAGAUCCAACUUGGAUAGUUUUAGUCGAGUCUUCAUUAUUGAGAGGCACUGAGAUGAGUUGCUCUGUGGAUUCUCUCUGACUUUCUUCUUCUCUUUGAUCCAGUCCAUCAUCGAUAGAAAGAUCUUCAGUUGAUCUUUUUUCUUUGAUCACAGUUAAAUAAUAUUAUCAGACCAACUAUUGAUCUCCUCUCAUUUCAUUAGUUUCUUUUCUCAUCG
Molecule: long non-coding RNA, 245 nt
Filed under: Elaeis guineensis (African oil palm)
Lineage: Eukaryota; Viridiplantae; Streptophyta; Magnoliopsida; Arecales; Arecaceae
Description: long non-coding RNA (EGUI_LNC004536)
Source: RNAcentral